GAUGAACGCUGGCGGCGUGCCUAAUACAUGCAAGUCGAGCGAACAGACGAGGAGCUUGCUCCUCUGACGUUAGCGGCGGACGGGUGAGUAACACGUGGAUAACCUACCUAUAAGACUGGGAUAACUUCGGGAAACCGGAGCUAAUACCGGAUAAUAUAUUGAACCGCAUGGUUCAAUAGUGAAAGACGGUUUUGCUGUCACUUAUAGAUGGAUCCGCGCCGCAUUAGCUAGUUGGUAAGGUAACGGCUUACCAAGGCAACGAUGCUUAGCCGACCCGAGAGGGUGAUCGGCCACACUGGAACUGAGACACGGUCCAGACUCCUACGGGAGGCAGCAGUAGGGAAUCGUCCGCAAUGGGCGAGAGCUUGACGGAGCAACGCCGCGUGAGUGAUGAAGGUCUUCGGAUCGUAAAACUCUGUUAUUAGGGAAGAACAAAUGUGUAAGUAACUAUGCACGUCUUGACGGUACCUAAUCAGAAAGCCACGGCUAACUACGUG
Molecule: ribosomal RNA, 497 nt
Filed under: uncultured bacterium
Lineage: Bacteria
Description: partial 16S ribosomal RNA
Rfam family: Bacterial small subunit ribosomal RNA
Source: RNAcentral